AGAAUUGACGGGGGCCCGCACAAGCGGUGGAGCAUGUGGUUAAUUCGAAGCAACGCGAAGAACCUUACCAGGUCUUGACAUCCCGAUGCUAUUUCCAGAGAUAGAAAGUUACUUCGGUACAUCGGUGACAGGUGGUGCAUGGUUGUCGUCAGCUCGCGUCGUGAGAUGUUGGGUUAAGUCCCGCAACGAGCGCAACCCCUAUUGUUAGUUGCCAUCAUUCAGUUGGGCACUCUAGCGAGACUGCCGGUAAUAAACCGGAGGAAGGUGGGGAUGACGUCAAAUCAUCAUGCCCCUUAUGACCUGGGCUACACACGUGCUACAAUGGUUGGUACAACGAGUUGCGAGUCGGUGACGGCGAGCUAAUCUCUUAAAGCCAAUCUCAGUUCGGAUUGUAGGCUGCAACUCGCCUACAUGAAGUCGGAAUCGCUAGUAAUCGCGGAUCAGCACGCCGCGGUGAAUACGUUCCCGGGCCUU
Molecule: ribosomal RNA, 474 nt
Filed under: uncultured Streptococcus sp.
Lineage: Bacteria; Bacillati; Bacillota; Bacilli; Lactobacillales; Streptococcaceae
Description: bacterial SSU rRNA
Rfam family: Bacterial small subunit ribosomal RNA
Source: RNAcentral